CAGACCUUUUUUUCUCCUUCUGUGCAAGAACACGGUAAAAAAAUGUAAUAUAAAAUGAGACAAACCAAAAACAUGUUGACAAAAUAAACGUUCUACAUAAAACGAAACUUAAAUUUGUUUAAAUUCAAUAACAUCUAAAUCCAUUGUAAAAACAGAGCGAAGAGAAUAAGAUUAAAAGUGAUACCAGUUGACAAUCUUUAUUUUUUUGUUCCUUGGGUAGAAGAAGUUGAUUUUUGUUUCCCCGUAAAUUUGGCAUUCACCAAAGCAUCAGACCUUUGUUUCUCCUUCUGUGUAAGAACAUGAUAAAAAAUAAGUAAUAUUAAUUGAGACAAACCAAAAACAUGUUGACAAAUCAAACGUUGUACAUAAAAUGAUACUUAAAAAUUUUUAAAUUCAAUAACAUCCAAAACUAUUGUCAAAACAAAGAGAAAAGAAUAGGAUUAAAAUUGAUACAAGUUGGCACUCUUUAUAUUUUGUUCCUUGGCUAGAAAAGGUUGAUUUUUCUUUCUCCUUAAAUUUGACAUUCUCCAAAAUAUCAGACCUUUUUUCCUCCUUCUGGGUAAGAAAACGGUACUUAAAAGCAAAAAAAUAAGAACAAAAAAAAUGAAUGAGAAAUAGGUGUAAGGAUACACUACCUCACGUAUACAGAGACAAUUUAGUUCAUAUUCAUUCCGAAUUACCACUCCUACAUUAUUCUGACGAAGUAUUCGAACCUGUAGGCAAAAAAAGGUUGAAUAGUAAAUAAGUUGGUAAAAAGAUAAGAUAAAAAGUAAGAAAAUGAUGAGUAAGAAAAAAUUAUCAUACGGUAUUUUCGAGGCCGUCAUCCAUCUGUCACGAAAUUAAUGAAAAUAAAUUAAAAUAAAUAAGUUAUUAAAAAAAUCAAUAAGAUUUAUUUAGAGAGAGUUAAUCACAUAAUAAACUUACACCACCAAAUAUAACAUCAUCCAUUGGUCGAUGAUUAUGCAGUUGAAACGGUUGUAGCUACACAGUAAAUUUCAUAAAUUUCAAUUACAUAAUAUACAUACACAAAAAUACAUACACAUCCAAUUUCCAGAACCAAAAUUAAGAAAAAAGACAACAUAAAUCUCCCUACAAAUUUCACAAAAUGAACACUCAAUAAUAACCAACUCAACAUCUAUUCCAUCCUAACAUUCAUAAUAAAAAAAAACCUAUUUCAUCAUAACUAUAAACACCCAUUGUAAAAAAAACAAAUUUAAAACACCCAAAGUUAAACUGAAGCUGUUGGAAAUAGAUAAGAAGACUUAUGAUGAAAACUUAAGUUAAAGAUUUCAAGGUAUAACUGAUACUAAUGGUUGAUUCACUUGAUAAAAAAUUCAUGAUAAAAAAAAAUUUAAUUUACACCACAGCUCAGUUGAUUCGUACAAUAAAAAAAGAAAAAUUAGACCCAAUACAUGGUAAGAGGUUGUUUGAAAACGAAACUAUAGAAAGAGUCAUCAAGCAUUCCUUUUAUAGAAAAGUGUCAUCCACGCACCCUUAAAGAAGCUCAAGCCAAGUUUAAUAGUUUUUAAUUUGGUAUUUUUCAACAAAUCGGACAAUGUCAGAAGUCGGUAAGUUUAUGUAAUUUAGUUUUCUUUUUUCCUUCCAAAAGUUUUCUUGAAACAUAAAUGAUCAUAGAGAAAAAUACUAAUAGUACUAAUAACAAAUGAGGGAUAUGCCUAAAAUUUUUAUAAAAAUGAGGUAUUUAUAAAAAAAUUCGUUACGUCGUGUCUUACUCUCCUUGAACACAUAUACUGUCAGCACCAAAAUCAAGUCAAUAUAAUGUCAAUAAAAUAAUUUGCAAAUAAGGCCAGUAGUGAGACACAACAAUAGUAUAUGAGUUCAGUUCUAGGUAAGGAAAAUAUCAGUAUUGACCAUCAUUCAACAGUAAUAAUGACUGCUUUAAGUAUCAAGAUUAUUAUUUCUUUUGCGUAAAAGCAAUAAUAAUCUUGAUACUAAAAGCAGUCAUUAUUACUGGAAUCAAAACACCAUGUAUAGCAGUCAUUAACACCAUGUAUACACAUAUCAAUCAUUCAAUCAAAACAAUGAGCAGGGCUUACAGAAGCAGAGCAGUAAAUACCUUCAAGAAUGCCACUAAUUUCUAAACACCAUGUAUUCCUUCAAGAAUGCCAAUAACUUCUAAACCUUCAUUUUUCUGUACCAAAUAAAUAAAAAUAACAACCAAUUUUGAGCUAAAAUAAAUGAAAAAAUAACAAAGAAAAAGGUUUAGAAUGGGUUUGAUUCAAGAAAAACAUCAAGAUUAAAAAAAAAUAUUUGCACCAAUCUUACUCCUAAUGAAAGAUUUAAAAAAUACAUCCAAAAUCUUACUCUCCUUAAACUAUAAAUUUUUUCGUAAAUGAGGUAUUUAUAAAAAAUUUCGUUACGUCGUGUAUUACUCUCCUUGAACUAUAAAGUAUUUUUCCAAAAUCUUCCAUUCCCAAGCAUCACCAAAAUCAAGCCGUUUUUUUCUACUUUUUAGUGCUCCAAAGUCACUAUAAGUCAUCACCAAAAUCAAGUCAAUAAAAUAAAUUGCAAAUAAGGCCAAGGCAGUCGGUAUCGCGUGAGAAGCUAUUUGUAAACAGUAUAUUGACUUUGCAAAUAAACUGUUACAAUUGUAAAAGUGUGUAACAAGUUGAUUUUAAUGGAGUGCAAUUGUAAUGUGUGUGUAACCUAUUGCAAUUGCCAAUUGCACUAUGUUCAUCAAUAUAUAAUGUUACAGGCGCGUGCUCCAAAGGCUGAGUACAUCUCCUUUUAUUAAAACUUUUCUCUUAGUAUAUUACACACAUAUAUUAGGAGAAUCCAUUCACAAUACAAUAUACUCCACUAAUUUAAAUGAACACUUUCUUAAAUCCUCCUGACUGCUACAUCAGAAAAACAAAAGACCUUAAGGAAAUGUGAUGCAAGAGGUCUAGCUCUAGAGGGAAAAAAAUGUGCAUUACCCAAGUUCAUCUAUUAUGAAACAGACGUCAUGCGCUUGCAAUAAAAAAAAAGACAAACAAUUUACAAAUAAAGAUUGGACAGCAACAAUUUACAAAUAAAAGUACAUGGCAUUAAUAUCCUCAUUCAGGUCUAGAGGGAAAAAAAUGUAAUUACCCAUUCAGGUCUUAAGUUCCAAUAAUAUCCUCAUUUAGACAUUUUAACAAACACCAAACAAUUAAUACUUCCUUAUACUCUGGAAUGAGUAAUUUUAUGAAUACAGGGCAUUCAACAGGGUAUUAAUUUGGUCGACCAACAAACAUGUAAUGGUAAUUACCUGGGAAGCCGUCAAAUUAGGCUAAGAACCCAUGCCAAAUUUGAAGGCGUCAAUUUGCUUCGGCCACGUUUUCCUUCGGCGGGAGAGUAGAAGGGAGAGAGAGAUGAUGCGACCACUAGAAGAGAGAGAGACGAUGCAAAUGAAGGAGAAGGAGAAGGAGAAGGAGAAGGCGAAGGCGAAGGCCACUCAGUUUUUACAAAUGGAUUUGGAGAUGGAGGAGAGUACAAUGAAGGAGAAGGAGAAAUGAGAAGGGGGCAGAGGUCGGGAUUUGGGUAGUGUGCAGGAGAAAGAUUAAUUUGGGCGGUUUUUAUUUUUAUGAAAUGAAAUGUCAGCCUUUGGAUGAAGUUGUAAA
RNAcentral lists this long non-coding RNA (3602 nucleotides) under Panax ginseng (ginseng). RNAcentral's name for it is "long non-coding RNA (PGIN_LNC000904)". Lineage: Eukaryota; Viridiplantae; Streptophyta; Magnoliopsida; Apiales; Araliaceae. The record is from RNAcentral.